Long non-coding RNA from Pezoporus occidentalis (night parrot), 2291 nucleotides. RefSeq lists it as uncharacterized. NCBI's taxonomy places the organism in Eukaryota, Metazoa, Chordata, Aves, Psittaciformes, Psittacidae. The transcript is spliced from 2 exons. The record is from RefSeq and is a predicted model, not a curated record.
GUUUUCCUGGGGGGGGGGGGGGGGAAUAAGAAAUAAAAGAGGAUUAUAAUGAUCCUUAAAUGGGGUCAGACCUUCACAGGAUGUCCUUACACAUUUAUGUUCAAGCUCAACCACCUUUAUCUAAUUUUCUGGAGGUCCAUAGAGGGACUACGGGACAAAAGCAUAAUUCACAUAUAAAAACUGUUCUGUACGUUAUUGCUGAAAAUUAAACACAAGAAUAGCCACACUGGGUCAUACCAAGCACAGGAUCCUCACUUCAAAUGUGGCUUGUGGCUUGUGGCUGAUACCUAAUGCAGGCAUGUAACAGACAUAUAUGACAUGAUUCCUCCCUGGUAUAUCCUUCAAGCUUUCAACAGCAAAUGGUUAACAGAGUUUCUGAUCACAGAUCCGCCAUGUUUAAUAUGUAAUAAUGAGACUGGCCUCCCUGCAUUUGCCUGGUUGUACUCCAUGUGUUUACAGAAUGGACAACCAAAGUGCACAUGGUGUUAAAAAUCUGGGCCUGUCACUCUCAUAUAUAUAGGCAUCACCUUCCACAUUUCAUCCUAUAUUCCUUUCCUAAUAAUACUUAACAUUCCAUUUGUCCUUGAACCCCGAGCUGAAAUUUUCCAAGGUUCUCCACGAUCACUCCCAGCUCUUUCUUCCCAAAUAGUUACUAUAUAAUUGCAUCUAGUUUAGAGCUCAUCACAAUGCAUAUGUUUUCAUUACAUUUCUUCUGAAAUAUGCUUUGGUCUCUCUUCUAAUAUGAUUCUACAUUUAAUUUGCUACAGUUUCUGGAAAGAAGCCUUUUCAAUAACUACUCCUGUUACAGUGGCACAAUUUCUGCUAUUUUGAAGGAUGUUUUCUUUCUGCCCUUUUACUCUGCUAUUACCCACUCAAGCCUAAGGUACAUGGAGGACUUCAGGGUACAGCAAAGUCACAUGGCUGGCAGAAUAGGUGGUCCAACCUGCCCUUAAAUGACUGAUCCCCACUGUCUGGCCAGGACACCAAGAAGGAAGGACAUGAGUCAUUUGUUUGCUUUGCACUGAGAAAAAUUUAUCAGAUGACACUACAGACUGAUAAGCUGCAGCCUCUUCUCUGUCUCCUGGGUAAAACCCAGCUGCUCUCGCAAUCAUUUACAGACAACAUGAAUAGACUUUUUGUUUGAUUCAAGAUUCCAUUUAAUAAAUAAAUCAGCUAUUAGAUGUUCCAGUUUACAUUAAGGUUUUGUGUGUCUCCUGAAGUAACCCUUGAAUUCAGCAUGCUCACAGCCACAUAAGAAGGUGGCAGUCCUCUAACUGAGGCUGAACCACCAUCCCAGAAGCUGCAACUGGGAGUCCCCAGAGUAGGUGUGGUACCUCCCAGUAAGCACAAAGUGAGAGUCAGGAAUGAAUCCCCUCUUUUCUCCAGCAAAAGGGAAGUGAUUACAUUUCCCAGGCUGUCCCAUGAGCAAGUUGGGUCACACUUGCACUGAAUGAACAAACCUAACAAAACCUCCUCUUGUACCUGGCAUCCUCUGGUGACUCUGCGACAAUGUGAUAAACUCUGUCUUCUGUCACGAUGUCCAAGGCAUUCUCCUUUUCAUGAAUGUCCACAAUCUCUCUGUAACACAGCAAAUCACAAGAGUCAAGCCCAAAAACCUUUCACAGGCAUGAAUUCCAUCUGGCCAACUUUUUUUUCCACAUUGUUACCAUUCAACAUAGAGAAGAGAAAGCACUGAUUCAGAUGGCUUAUAACCCCAACAGAAACACAUUUUUAUCAACAUACAUUAAGGAUUUUAGGAUCUCCUUAAAAAGAUUUGUGCUGUUAAUCUACUACAAAAGCAAAGCUUAAGGUGUUAAAUGGUUUUUCAAGACACCAGCAGACUACAGGAUUACAUGGAAGAAGAGAUAACAAGGAAGUUGAUACAGAGGGUGGUUUACAAGUAGGAUGUGCCACACUUUUCGGCACUUUACAGGACCACAUAAUGCUAACAGAUGACUAGUCUCUCCUUUCCUACAACAGGAGCUGAGAAAUUGGCUAAAGCAGCAAAAAGAGCAUCCGGGACUCAGGAAAAAGCAUAGUACAUGUUGCCAAAUUCAGAUCCCACUGUGAGCUUCAUACCACCUCUGUGAAUGCCUGGAGAUGCCAGGAAACAGAUGGAGUCAGGGUAGGGGAGAAUGCAUGGGGUAUGUACUUAAUUAGACCCUCCUGUUCUGGCUCCUUCCAUGGAGCUUGGAAAGAGCUCCUGCUGAAUUAUGAAAUGCAAGUCUGGAAAAAGAACUACCAAGUAAUUCCAGACUCCCUCCAGAAUAAAACUACAAGUUCUAAUUGUC